CAGCCGCCGCGGUAAUACGAAGGGUGCAAGCGUUAAUCGGAGUUACUGGGCGUAAAGCGUGCGUAGGCGGUGAGUUAAGUCUGCUGUGAAAUCCCCGGGCUCAACCUGGGAAUGGCAGUGGAUACUGGCUCGCUAGAGUGUGUCAGAGGAUGGUGGAAUUCCCGGUGUAGCGGUGAAAUGCGUAGAGAUCGGGAGGAACAUCAGUGGCGAAGGCGGCCAUCUGGGACAACACUGACGCUGAGGCACGAAAGCGUGGGGAGCAAACAGGAUUAGAUACCCGCGUAGUCCCUGUCUCUUAUAC
RNAcentral lists this ribosomal RNA (301 nucleotides) under uncultured bacterium. RNAcentral describes it as "partial 16S ribosomal RNA". It matches the Rfam family "Bacterial small subunit ribosomal RNA", at positions 509 to 807 of the family's 1533-position model. The record is from RNAcentral.